Molecule: long non-coding RNA, 1799 nt
Filed under: Lynx pardinus (Iberian lynx)
Lineage: Eukaryota; Metazoa; Chordata; Mammalia; Carnivora; Felidae
Source: RNAcentral
CAGAACACACUGUGUUGUUCUAGUUCAAGGUUCACUGACGACAGCGGGGAUUACGUCGAUUCUACCGACACCCUCGGGCUGUGCUUCGGAAAGCACUGCCACCCUCACCGGCCCCACCGUGGCACCGCCUCCCGCGGGAAGCCCUCCCUGAGCUCCCGCUGCCGGGACACCUGCUCACAAGACCCCAUGAGAUCAAGACCACGUGGUAACCUGCCCCACUCGUGGUCCCCAAGGGUCCUUGUCCCUGCUUCCCCAACGACCGUGGCUUCCGGAUGUGCAACGCCUGUGCCCUAGAUUCUCCAGCUACUUGAUAAGCGUCUUUCAACAAAAGGUGAACGGAGAAACGCUCAUGACAGCCCGGGAACCCGAUGUGUAUAAUGUCGGCGUGGCCACGGUGAGCCCCGUGUGCUUGCUUAUUAAGACGUACGCUGAGGAGGUAAUUGUCUGCCCCACAGUUACAAAUGACCAUCUCUAUUUCACUUCUCGCCAUAUAGAAAAAUGGAAAUGCAGCACGUGAUUUAGUGAGUAGAGCUUCAUAGGGCUUUCCUUUUAUUUAAUUGCCUGUUUUCCUUGAGCAGAUCUACUAUCCUGAUGUUUUUGACCCCCUUCCUUUCGGACCCCUUGCAGGGUAAUGAGCAAUGAAUGAGUGGCUUUCUCGGGGAGGACGGUGCUUCCCACCGUCGGCAGCUCUCGGACUGACGUGCUGUGAGGAACAUGCCUCUAUCCUGGCGCUCCCGCGGGUCGGGCUCGACGAGGAGGCGGUGAGGGGCGGGGGGAGGUCUUCUGUCCUCGGGAAGCAAUAACCCCUCUUCCCAAAGCGCUCUAGGAAGUUCUCUCCCAGUGUGCUCCAGAGAUCACUAUCCCUUGCUAUGCACUCUGGGGCCGGCUCCCUCCUCCGCAGACGCGCGGGGCCACGGCUCUGCUCUGGAGAAAGUUAAGCACUUUCAAAGCCUCUGAGUUUCCGCUCCAAAGGCUGAUUACAAAAAGAACCCACACUCUCUGUAUUUCAUGCUCCCCAUUCCGUAGUCCAGAGAGGUUUCCUCUUGUGCUAACUGGAAGCUUCCCUUUCACAGCCCCUCACUCUGCUGGUCCGUUUUGUCUCUGCACAGAAGGGGUUCCCUCCACUCCGUGGCUGUGCCAGCUUAUCUCCCCAAAUCACAUACACGUGCCUCAAUCCUGCCAGGCUGUCUCCUUCCAACUGUGGACAUCAUUCUGCCGAUCCACCGAUCGAUUUCCUGGAUGUUCUAAGUAAUCUGACCUCGAUACAGCCGCGUUUGAGAGGAGGAACACCCCAGUCCCCCUACUUCUCCGCCUUCUUAACUCCUCUCAAAAAGAUGUCAAUUAAGUGAGGCGAACGACCAGGUUUCUUAGUUUAUUUUAGUGAUGCCGCCACAGAGGUGUCCUGACUAGUCAACAGUGAAUUGCUGUGGUGACUGCCAGACUGCGGACGGGCUAAGGUCCAAUGAAUCUGCAACUGUGAAGAAAUGAGAAGCCUGUGUGCAUAUGUGCGUGCACUCGUGUGAGUGUGUGUGUGUGUGUGUGUGUGUGAUGUGCACAGAAGGGAUGUGCGUGUGUGCACGUGUGGAUGGGGGUGUGUGUGCGGAUGGGUGUUGCUGGGUGUGCGUGUGCGUGUGUGGAUGGGAUGAGCAGACAAAGACAGAUGAGAUGGACGGACAGACAGACAGCUGUCCCCCAGCGGUCCCGGACACUCCCCCUCUGUGGCCCCCUGACCUGCUUUGGCCAACCACGUGUGAACGGCGGCCACACGUCCUUCCGGGCACACUGGGAAGCCCCAGCUG